Molecule: long non-coding RNA, 515 nt
Filed under: Androctonus crassicauda
Lineage: Eukaryota; Metazoa; Arthropoda; Arachnida; Scorpiones; Buthidae
Source: RNAcentral
ACGGACGCACAUUUAACAUACACAAAAGCAUUUAUUUACAGCAACAAUAAUAAUAAUAAAAGAAUAAAAGUUACUACUGUGCAAGAAUAUGAGAGUCUAAACAAGCAUAAAAGAAUAUCCUAAGCCUAAUACCAUAAAUUCCCCUUAACUAAUACCAUACAAUAUACUGUUCUGUUUCGUUCGAGAGAGUGUGAGACGAGCCCAUCCACAUACCUGAGAGAUAUAUUACAAAAUUACAUUAUUAAGCCAAUGACUCCAGUUACACAUUAAAUGCUCAAUGUUCAUAAUGCCCAAUGUCCUUCUGAAAAGUUCAUUGUCUUCACUGGCUGUCGGCGUUGUAAUCGCCACCAUUGACUUUCGUCGUCCGCCAUUGUUGUCGCACUGUCAGGCCUUGUUGGCCGUCCUGAUGGGACGAGCUGCUUUUCUGUCUUCUGCUGUGUGUGUCUCUCUGUCUGUCUAUAUGCGUAUCUAUAUGCUCCCUCUGUGUGUGAUGCUCUCCUCCCUUUUCGUCGUCU